RNAcentral lists this ribosomal RNA (583 nucleotides) under uncultured bacterium. RNAcentral's name for it is "partial 16S ribosomal RNA". It matches the Rfam family "Bacterial small subunit ribosomal RNA", at positions 355 to 1375 of the family's 1533-position model. The record is from RNAcentral.
UGGGGAAUUUUGGACAAUGGGCGAAAGCCUGAUCCAGCAAUGCCGCGUGUGUGAAGAAGGCCUUCGGGUUGUAAAGCACUUUUGUCCGGAAAGAAAUCCUUGGCUCUAAUACAGUCGGGGGAUGACGGUACCGGAAGAAUAAGCACCGGCUAACUACGUGCCAGCAGCCGCGGUAAUACGUAGGGUGCAAGCGUUAAUCGGAAUUACUGGGCGUAAAGCGUGCGCAGGCGGUUUGCUAAGACCGAUGUGAAAUCCCCGGGCUCAACCUGGGAACUGCAUUGGUGACUGGCAGGCUAGAGUAUGGCAGAGGGGGGUAGAAUUCCACGUGUAGCAGUGAAAUGCGUAGAGAUGUGGAGGAAUACCGAUGGCGAAGGCAGCCCCCUGGGCCAAUACUGACGCUCAUGCACGAAAGCGUGGGGAGCAAACAGGAUUAGAUACACUGGUAGUCCACGCCUAAACGAUGUCAACUAGUUGUUGGGGAUUCAUUCCUUAGUAACGUAGCUAACGCGUGAAGUUGACCGCCUGGGGAGUACGGUCGCAAGAUUAAAACUUAAAUGAAUUGACGGGGUCAUAGCUGUUUCCU